This 72-nucleotide transfer RNA is filed under the name Bos taurus (domestic cattle). It matches the Rfam family "tRNA". Rfam says of the family: Transfer RNA (tRNA) molecules are approximately 80 nucleotides in length. Their secondary structure includes four short double-helical elements and three loops (D, anti-codon, and T loops). The record is from Rfam by way of RNAcentral. RNAcentral also lists the same sequence under 2 other names. Lineage: Eukaryota; Metazoa; Chordata; Mammalia; Artiodactyla; Bovidae.
CCCUUGCUGGUCUGGUGGCUAGGAUUCCUGGUUCUUACCCAGGAUACCCAGGUUCAAUUCCUGGGCAGAGAA